UACGUAGGGUGCGAGCGUUGUCCGGAAUUACUGGGCGUAAAGGGCUUGUAGGUGGUUUGUCGCGUUGUUCGUGAAAACCGGAGGCUUAACCUUCGGCGUGCGGGCGAUACGGGCAGACUGGAGUACUGCAGGGGAGACUGGAAUUCCUGGUGUAGCGGUGGAAUGCGCAGAUAUCAGGAGGAACACCGGUGGCGAAGGCGGGUCUCUGGGCAGUAACUGACGCUGAGGAGCGAAAGCGUGGGGAGCGAACAGG
Molecule: ribosomal RNA, 253 nt
Filed under: uncultured bacterium
Lineage: Bacteria
Description: partial 16S ribosomal RNA
Rfam family: Bacterial small subunit ribosomal RNA
Source: RNAcentral